AUUGAACGCUGGCGGCAGGCCUAACACAUGCAAGUCGAACGAGUGGCGGACGGGUGAGCAAUGUAUGGGAAACUGCCUGAUGGAGGGGGAUCACUACCGGAAACGGUAGCCAAUACCGCAUACCAUCGGAUGUGCCCAGAUGGGAUUAGCUAGUUGGUGGGGUAAAGGCUCACCAAGGCGACGAUCCCUAGCUGGUCUGAGAGGAUGACCAGCCACACUGGAACUGAGACACGGUCCAGACUCCUACGGGAGGCAGCAGUGGGGAAUAUUGGACAAUGGGCGCAAGUCUGAUGCAGCCAUGCCGCGUGUAUGAAGAAGGCCGUCGGGUUGUAAAGGACUUUCAGCGGGGAGGCGUUACCCGCAGAAGAAGCACCGGCUAACUCCGUGCCAGCAGCCGCGGUAAUAC
RNAcentral lists this ribosomal RNA (406 nucleotides) under uncultured bacterium. RNAcentral's name for it is "partial 16S ribosomal RNA". It matches the Rfam family "Bacterial small subunit ribosomal RNA", at positions 29 to 526 of the family's 1533-position model. The record is from RNAcentral.